GCUUCCAUGGUGUACUUUAGCAUAAAAGAUUGUGGCUCUUUUGGAGGGCGUAAGUCCUGGGGGCUC
Molecule: transfer RNA, 66 nt
Filed under: Mimachlamys senatoria
Lineage: Eukaryota; Metazoa; Mollusca; Bivalvia; Pectinida; Pectinidae
Description: tRNA-His
Source: RNAcentral